GUCCCUUCGUCCCCGCCUCGUUCUAAUCCACACGAGGUGAGGACGAGCACGACUCCAACCGCAACGCACUCGGUCACGAGUGUCAUCGCGUGGCGGAGGAGGGCCUCCCACCUCCAUGGCGUCCGUCUCCAUCGCGCCUCGCGCGCCGCUCCCGGCGGCGGUGGCCUCCUCCUCUCGGCGGCAGCUGGAUCCGAACCCUAGCGGCCGGUUCCUCGCCGCUCGCCUCCGCGUAGUCCGCCGCCUCGCCGGAGCGGCGCCAUCGCGCCGCGCGCCGGUCGUGCGGUGCGCCGCGCGCAGCCCCGACGCGGACGCCGGCGGCGAGCGGCGGCGGCGGCGGGGCUGGGACGCGAUGUUCCACGACGCCUUCCAGGGCGCCGUGCGGCGGUGGAGCGAGUACGUCAGUAACUACUGGCCCUCGUCUCCAGCAGCGAAGGAGGCGGGUGUGGGGAAGAGGAUUGAGAGUUCUCACGAAGAGGAGGCGAUGAGCGGGGAUGAAGAGGAGGAAGAGGAGAGGGAGAUGGAGGAGGAAGGGGGAAAGUGGAGCUGGGAUAGGUGGAAGCAGCACUUUGCUCUCAUUGAGGAGAGCGAGCGCCUGGUUGACGAGCUACAGCUGCAACUCCGAGCUGCUGUUUAUAGAGAAGACUAUAGGAGUGCUUAUAAGUUGAAGUUGGCUAUUGCCGCUACUGCAAAAAACGACACUGUGGGCAGAGUUAUCUCUGACUUAAAUAGGGCGAUAGAAGAGGAGCGCUACAGGGAUGCAACGUAUAUCAGAGAUCAUGCUGGCGCAGGAUUGCUGGGAUGGUGGUCAGGAAUUUCUGGAAAUUUGUCCGAUCCAUAUGGUCUUAUAGUUCGUAUAAGUGCUGAACAUGGUCGAUAUGUGGCAAGAAGUUAUGAUACAAGACAGCUGGCUUCAGACGGCCCUGGUUUCCCUAUAUUUGAAAUAUACUUUGCAGAAGCAAAUGGAGGAUACAACCUGCAGGCAGUGCAUCUGAAACCAGAUGAUAGUGAUUCUGAUCAAUUGCCAAACAUGUUAAGAGAGAAACUUGGCAUCGACAGUAUAAACAUAUCUAGCAGCUCAGUAGGGUCUAAGCAUGAAGAAUUUGAUGGAGGUGUAAAAAUGGACGAUCAAGAUAGUGAUGAUAGCAAUAUUGCUGCUGGCCCAGCUGGUUUGAAAGACUUGUCAAGUGAUUCAACGGCAGUUCCCAGGAUUAAAAUCUUGAAAGUGGUACCCAUGGAAAAUGUCAACCAAGACUACGUAAUCAAUAUUUUCGAUCAGAUUUCAGAGGAAGAUGAUGACAAUGAUGAUCCUGAGGUUGAAAAUGAAUCUUCACAAAAUAUUGGUGAUGACGAUAAUGGUGAAGGAGCAGAAACAGUUUCUGCAGAAGAGAAUGGUGAUGAAUCUGGUGAUGAAAGUGAUAUCGAAGCCUUGAUUUCUAUAGAUUUUGUCAGUGAGAAUAACAAUGAUUAUGCUUCUCAUUCAUCAGCUGAAGUUUUUGAACGAAUGCCAGCUAGAUUAGAAAAAAGAGACCGCUUCUCAUUUUCCUUCUAUACUGAACAAUACAGUAAAAAACAAGUUGCGGGAAAGGCCCAGCAGACUUCGAAGAGAACAGUUGGUUUGCAUACCAGUCAGCAGGAUGAUGAUGGUUUUGUCCAGCUUGAUCGUGUAAAGUUGAUUGGCAGCAACAAGAAACUAUCGAUACUACAACUUGGCAUCAAGCAACAUAAUAACAAGGUUCAGCAAAAACUGUAUGGAGUUACCCAUUUCAGCCGUAUUCAGAUGCCUGUAUCUUCCGAUCCUCUUACCGGCUUAUAUGUUACUGCAUCAGGAUUUGACUCAGAAAUUCUUAGUUUGCAACGAAAAUUUGGUCAAUGGCGGGAGGAUAAUUCGUCUGAGGAGCACAGGGACCUACUGUUCUAUGAGUAUGUUGAAGCUGUAAAAUUAACAGGAGACAACCUUGUGCCAGCCGGUCAGGUUGUCUUCCGUGCUAAAGUUGGCGAACACUAUCAACUUCCUCAUAAGGGAAUCAUCCCUAGAGAACUUGGAGUGGUUGCUAGGUACAAGGGGCAAAGGAAAAUUGCAGAUCCUGGUUCCCAAAACCCUCUGUGGGUUGAUGGAGAGCUUUUGAUACUAGAUGGAAAGUUCAUCAGAGAUGGUCCUGUGAUAGCUUUCUUUUACUGGACAUCGAAUUUUCAUCUUUUCGAGUUCUUUAGGCGGUUGAGGCUUCCUGACUACCUAUAAGAGAAGAAGUUAAAGAGGUGGUGCAUGUUGGCUGUUGCAGGCCAUCAGUGAUCCAAAUUUGGCUUAGUUUCUUUCUGGAAAUGCUAUAUUCAUCCUAAAUGGUCAUGUUUCUGUUAGCCUCCUAAUAAGCAUUAAAAUGGACAAAAUGGAUCCAAUUGGAUGGAUUUUAUUUUGAGACGGCCUCAUAGGGUCGUUCCAAUCUCGCAAGACGAUGUGCAUAGCUGCCUCUGGAGCCAACUUGAGUCUUGCCUGCCAUUACAUUUCCCAAAUACCGGGUUCAAUGUGGAGAAGACCCGCUGUAUGUUGCGUGAGUUUUAAGUGGCGUCUCCACUCUGAAAACCUGCCAUUUGGGUGAAGAAAGAGCUCAGAGCUAGGGAAAUAUCCUACUGCCAACAUGGGUGAGCCGUGGACACUAUCAUAUUCUGAGUCCACUCCGACUCUGCUCAUCCACCUGAUUAACAACUUGAGACCAAGGCAUUUACCCUGGGUUUGUCGCAUAAAAUAGUCACACAAUUCCGUGUUUCUCAGAACAAGUAGAGUUAAAGCACUUAAAAGGUUAGGUUAUGUAGCCACAAAUAAUUCUGGAUUUUGAGUGCAUCUUGAUAGCUUUCAUGCAGGAACAGUUGUAUGUGAAAUGUGAGCAACACUUUUGUGCAGUGUGAUCCAAUAAUCGAGCUACAAUCAACAGUGGCCAUCACAUUUGUACAUAUAUUUUCAACCACCAGCAGAGGCGUAGACUAUACAUGUCAACACAGAUUUAUAAAUGUAUUGAAGCUCGUUUAACCA
Molecule: RNA transcript, 3025 nt
Organism: Phragmites australis (common reed)
Lineage: Eukaryota; Viridiplantae; Streptophyta; Magnoliopsida; Poales; Poaceae
Gene name: protein EXECUTER 1, chloroplastic-like
Exons: 13
Source: RefSeq, a predicted model, not a curated record